This 90-nucleotide transfer RNA is filed under the name Candidatus Kaiserbacteria bacterium. Its description in RNAcentral is "tRNA-Leu". It matches the Rfam family "tRNA". Rfam says of the family: Transfer RNA (tRNA) molecules are approximately 80 nucleotides in length. Their secondary structure includes four short double-helical elements and three loops (D, anti-codon, and T loops). The record is from RNAcentral. Lineage: Bacteria; Candidatus Kaiseribacteriota.
GCCCGGGUGGCGAAAUUGGUAGACGCGCAAGACUUAAAAUCCUGUGGUUUAUAAAUGACCGUGCGGGUUCGAUUCCCGCCCUGGGCACCA